Molecule: long non-coding RNA, 1546 nt
Filed under: Felis catus (domestic cat)
Lineage: Eukaryota; Metazoa; Chordata; Mammalia; Carnivora; Felidae
Description: lncRNA (ENSFCAG00000048113.1)
Source: RNAcentral
CCGGGAUUGGGUGCCGUGAGUGGUUCUGAGCCUGGAUUGGGCACAGUGGUUGUGGACCGGGAUUGGGUGCCGCGAGUGGUUGUGGGCCUGGAUUGGGCGCAGUAGUUGUGGGCUGGGAUUGGGCGCAGUGGUUGUGGGCGGGGAUUGGAGCAGUGGUUCUGGGCCUGGAUUGGGUGCCGUGAGUGGUUGUGGGCCUGGAUUGGGCACAGUGGUUGUGGACCGGGAUUGGGUGCCGCGAGUGGUUGUGGGCCUGGAUUGGGCGCAGUAGUUGUGGGCUGGGAUUGGGCGCGGUGGUUGUGGACCGGGAUUGGGUGCCGUGAGUGGUUCUGGGCCUGGAUUGGGCGCAGUGGUUGUGGGCUGGGAUUGGGCGCAGUGGUUCUGGGCCUGGAUUGGGUGCCGCGAGUGGUUGUGGGCCUGGAUUGGGCGCAGUGGCAUGUCCCCGCCCACCGCGGCUGCUCCUACUCUAUAAAGUCAGAGUUUUACCUUCACCGAAGCCACAGAAUCCACUCUCCUGAAUCUUCGGUGAGAACCGUGUCUUGGAGAUGAGAGAGGAUUUGGAAGACGGAUUCUAGCAGGACGAGGGGCAGGUGGGGGGGAGACGGGAUGGACAGAGAAGUCCGCUCCCUGCACCACGCUCCCAUUGGUCAAACCCGCUUUGCAAAAUGGCGCAUCGUUAAACUCCCUGACAGGUAUCAAGUAGCGUAGCGUUCCAGCUUCAAAACCGUCGUUGUUUCCUCGGGGAUUCCCUGUUUCUGCAGCUUCCGCCACUUGUUGGCUCCGGUGCGUUUUGCGGAAGCCAAUCCAAGUGGAACCCAAGCAAACACCAGUGGCCGAUGAGGCCCGGCAACGGUCGUAGAGGAAACUGGGGAAACUGGGCUGGCCUGACCUCGGUGGCGGCAAGAAGGCUAACUGGAAGAGACACGUCGCGUCCAACGUGUAACUCAAGGCUUCCUGGCGACACACACUCGUGUUUCAUCACCGCGUGAGACCAGAAGGAGUUGGCCUGUGACCAACCCGUGUUCAGAUACGGGCUAGGAUUCCAGGAGUUUAAGUUUUCCCCAGAGGGAAGACCCAGGUGGGGGUCCCGGGAGGGAUGAGUGUGUUUUGGCUCUUAGGGAUUUGAAAUGAAAACCUUCUCCUCACCCUGAAGAUUCCUGAGGCCCAGCCACCCGCACACGCCGUUCCCCGUCUCCCGGAAGUCGUCUCCUGAAGGUCACAAAGCUGUUCCCCAUCUGUGAGGCCCAAGUGUUGGCAAAAACUUCUCUGCCCUCUGGAAAUUUCACGAGUGGAACCUCUUCACUGUUGUAUUAUUCAGGACUCUUUCUGGUGCCGGGAACGAAGCCAGAUCUAAACUACCUUAAACAAUGAAAAUCAUUGGAAACACGCAUGAGUAGCUCCUAGACUCAAAGAAAGCUUUGGUAGAAUCCAGGCUACGCAAGAGAUUUGGGCGGGGGGGGGGGGGGGGGGGGGAGGACAGCUAGAAUCCGAAGCAGGCUCCGGGCUCCCAGCUGUCAGCACAGAGCUCGACGCGGGGCUUGAACCCAUG